UAAUAGUGCCCUAUUGAUGCAAAUCAUUGGGUUAGAUCUGCUCUCUUCGCAAGAAGAGGGUUUCCAUACACACCGUGAACUGUGGCUUCGGCCAUCACAAACUGUUAGUAAUGAAUGUAAUAUCAUAACAAAAACAAAACUUUUAACAACGGAUCUCUUGGCUCUCGCAUCGAUGAAGAACGCAGCGAAAUGCGAUAAGUAAUGUGAAUUGCAGAAUUCAGUGAAUCAUCGAAUCUUUGAACGCACCUUGCGCCCUUUGGUAUUCCGAAGGGCAUGCCUGUUUGAGUGUCAUGAAACCUCACCCCACUUGGGUUUUUGCCUGAGCGGUGGUGUAUUGGGUGUUGCCUUGCUAAAGGCUCGCCUUAAAGACAUAAGCACCUUGGAUGUAAUACGUUUCAUCCUUCUGGGUGGCUGAUAACCCCACAUAUUCAUGAUCUGGCCUCAAAUCAGGUAGGGCUACCCGCUGAACUUAA
This 473-nucleotide ribosomal RNA is filed under the name uncultured Tremellales. RNAcentral describes it as "eukaryotic LSU rRNA". The stretch from base 138 to 291 matches the Rfam family "5.8S ribosomal RNA". The record is from RNAcentral. Lineage: Eukaryota; Fungi; Basidiomycota; Tremellomycetes; Tremellales.